Suricata suricatta (meerkat) is the source of this 265-nucleotide long non-coding RNA. RefSeq lists it as uncharacterized. The transcript is spliced from 3 exons. NCBI's taxonomy places the organism in Eukaryota, Metazoa, Chordata, Mammalia, Carnivora, Herpestidae. The record is from RefSeq and is a predicted model, not a curated record.
GUCACAUGUCUGAGACCUGGAGUAGACUCUGGGAACCACUGUGUGUGGACAUGAGGUGUCUAUGCCUCCGUCCCACCAACAACCACUCCGAGGAUUAGAACAAGUUCGUUGCUCUCUUCUACUCCGUCAUUACCUCCACAGUCAACCCCUUCAUAUAUACACUGAAGAACAAGGAUGUGAGAGGUGCAAUGAAGAAGGUGAGAGUUCAAACUCUGAAUUCAUGGAUUCAUUGCAGCCUCCAGAGAUGCUGAUGGAGUGUUCCUAG